GAAUAGGAACCUAACAAGGAUUCCCCUAGUAACGGCGAGUGAAGCGGGAAGAGCUCAAAUUUGAAAGCUGGUACCUUCGGUGCCCGCGUUGUAAUCUCGAGAAGUGUUUUCCGUGCUGGACCAUGUACAAGUUCCUUGGAAUAGGACGUCAUAGAGGGUGAAAAUCCCGUACUUGACAUGGAUGCCCAGUGCUUUGUGAUACACUCUCCACGAGUCGAGUUGUUUGGGAAUGCAGCUCAAAAUGGGUGGUAAAUUCCAUCUAAAGCUAAAUAUUGGGGAGAGACCGAUAGCGAACAAGUACCGUGAGGGAAAGAUGAAAAGCACUUUGGAAAGAGAGUUAAACAGUACGUGAAAUUGUCGAAAGGGAAGCGCUUAAAGUUAGACAUGCCUAUUGGGAUUCAGCCUUGCUUUUGCUUGGUGUAUUUCCCGGUGAGCAGGCCAGCAUCAGUUUCGGCUGUCGGAUAAGGGUUAGAGGAAUGUGGCCCCUCGGGGUGUUAUAGCCUUUAACUGGAUACGGCGGCUGGGACUGAGGAACGCAGCGUGCCUUUAUGGCGGGCCUUCGGGCACCUUCACGCUUAGGAUGCUGGCGUAAUGGCUUUAAGCGACCCGUCUUGAAACACGGACCGAGGAGUCUAACAUGUCUGCGAGUCUUUGGGUGGCAAACCCAUAGGCGCAAUGAAAGUGAAUGCAUGUGGGAUCCUCACGGAGCACCAUCGACCGAUCCGGAUUUUCUAUGAUGGAUUUGAGUAAGAGCAUAAUAUUGUUU
Molecule: ribosomal RNA, 766 nt
Filed under: Sympodiomycopsis paphiopedili
Lineage: Eukaryota; Fungi; Basidiomycota; Exobasidiomycetes; Microstromatales
Description: partial large subunit ribosomal RNA
Rfam family: Eukaryotic large subunit ribosomal RNA
Source: RNAcentral